GUCAGUGUGACAUCACAAUUGUGGGAAAUGCCUCUACUCAUAUUUCUGAAUCCUUCCUCAAGUUCCAUGAUAUCAAGCAUGAACAGUUAAUUGUUAAAAUUAUAGAGGAACCACAUAUCUAGGUAAAAAAGAAAACUGAAAUACUCAGUGCCUCCCAAGACAAUGGAUAACAUACAACAGUAGUGCCUAUGGACUAGCAGUAUAUUCGAUGUGAAUCCAGGCCAUGUACUUGUACAGAAAAUAAAAAUUUCAUGCAAAAUGA
Non-coding RNA from Rattus norvegicus (Norway rat), 262 nucleotides. The record is from RefSeq and is a predicted model, not a curated record. NCBI's taxonomy places the organism in Eukaryota, Metazoa, Chordata, Mammalia, Rodentia, Muridae.